AGUGGCUAAGACUGGAUAGGAAGAAAUAAGGCAUCUAUUGUCUUUUAAAAGACCUAGUGAUAGGUAUACUUUAGGAGGGGCUUGCGCCAUAUUAGUUAGUUGGUAGGGUAAUGGCCUACCAAGACGAUGAUGUGUAGCUGGACUGAGAGGUUGAACAGCCACAUUGGGACUGAGACACGGCCCAAACUCCUACGGGAGGCAGCAGUAGGGAAUUUUCGGCAAUGGAGGAAACUCUGACCGAGCAACGCCGCGUGAACGACGAAGUACUUUGGUAUGUAAAGUUCUUUUAUCAAGGAAGAAAAGCAAGUGGUGAACCAUUUGUUUGCCGGUACUUGAUGAAUAAGCCCCGGCUAAUUAUGUGCCAGCAGCCGCGGUAAGACAUAAGGGGCAAGUGUUAUCCGGAAUUAUUGGGCGUAAAGGGUGCGUAGGCGGUCUAGUAAGUCAGUGGUGUAAUGGCAACGCUCAACGUUGUCCGGCUAUUGAAACUGCUAAACUUGAGUUAGAUAGAGGCGAGUGGAAUUCCAUGUGUAGCGGUAAAAUGCGUAAAUAUAUGGAGGAACACCAGAGGCGUAGGCGGCUCGCUGGGUCUUAACUGACGCUGAGGCACGAAAGCGUGGGGAGCAAACAGGAUUAGAUACCCUGGUAGUCCACGCCGUAAACGAUGAGUACUAAGUGUCGGGUUAAACCGGUACUGAAGUUAACACAUUAAGUACUCCGCCUGAGUAGUACGUACGCAAGUAUGAAACUUAAAGGAAUUGACGGGACUCCGCACAAGCAGAGGAUCAUGUUGUUUAAUUCGAAGAUACCCGAAAAACCUUACCAGGUCUUGACAUGUUUUUGCGAAACGGUAGUAAUAUGGUGGAGGUUAUCAGAAACACAGGUGGUGCAUGGUUGUCGUCAGCUCGUGUCGUGAGAGGUUAGGUUAAGUCCCAAAACGAGCGAAACCCUUAUCGUUAGUUGCCAGCACGUAAUGGUGGGGACUUUAACGAGACUGCCAGUGAUAAAUUGGAGUAAGGUGAGGAUCACGUCAAAUCAGCAUGCCCCUUAUGACCAGCGCUACAAACGUGAUACAAUGGCUGUUACAAAGGGUAGCUGAAACGCAAGUUCUUGGCCAAUCCCCAAAAACAGUCUCAGUCCGCAUUGAAGUCUGCAACUCGACUUCAUGAAGUUGGAAUCGCUAGUAAUCGCGAGAAUCAGCAUGUCGCG
Molecule: ribosomal RNA, 1206 nt
Filed under: 'Elaeagnus angustifolia' witches'-broom phytoplasma
Lineage: Bacteria; Bacillati; Mycoplasmatota; Mollicutes; Acholeplasmatales; Acholeplasmataceae
Description: bacterial SSU rRNA
Rfam family: Bacterial small subunit ribosomal RNA
Source: RNAcentral